GACGAACGCUGGCGGCGCGCUUAACACAUGCAAGUCGAACGGAAAGGCUUGCUUUCCCUUGUGGAUUGCGGGUACUCGAGUGGCGAACGGGUGAGUAACACGUGAGUGAUCUGCCCCCAACUUGGGUAUAAGCCUGGGAAACUGGGUCUAAUUCCCGAUAGGACUGCAGGGUGGUGCCUGUGGUGGAAAACGAUUUUCUAGUGGUUGGGGAUGAGCUCGCGGCCUAUCAGCUUGUUGGUGGGGUAAUGGCCUACCAAGGCGGCGACGGGUAGCCGGCCUGAGAGGGUGGACGGCCACAUUGGGACUGAGAUACGGCCCAGACUCCUACGGGAGGCAGCAGUGGGGAAUAUUGCACAAUGGGCGGAAGCCUGAUGCAGCGACGCCGCGUGGGGGAUGACGGCCUUCGGGUUGUAAACUCCUUUCGACCGCGAGGAAGCCACCUGGUUGGAAGGGUGGUGACGGUAGUGGUAGAAGAAGCACCGGCUAACUACGUG
RNAcentral lists this ribosomal RNA (494 nucleotides) under uncultured bacterium. Its description in RNAcentral is "partial 16S ribosomal RNA". It matches the Rfam family "Bacterial small subunit ribosomal RNA", at positions 28 to 507 of the family's 1533-position model. The record is from RNAcentral.